UACGAAGGGGGCUAGCGUUGCUCGGAUUGACUGGGCGUAAAGGGCGCGUAGGCGGUUCGUACAGUCAGACGUGAAAUUCCUGGGCUCAACCUGGGGGCUGCGUUUGAUACGUGCGGACUUGAGUGCGGAAGAGGUCGUGGAAUUCCUGGUGUAGCGGUGAAAUGCGCAGAUAUCAGGAGGAACACCGGUGGCGAAGGCGGGUCUCUGGGCCGAUACUGACGCUGAGGAGCGAAAGCGUGGGGAGCGAACAGG
RNAcentral lists this ribosomal RNA (252 nucleotides) under uncultured bacterium. RNAcentral's name for it is "partial 16S ribosomal RNA". It matches the Rfam family "Bacterial small subunit ribosomal RNA", at positions 524 to 776 of the family's 1533-position model. The record is from RNAcentral.